This is a long non-coding RNA of Rhododendron vialii, 473 nucleotides long. RefSeq lists it as uncharacterized. Lineage: Eukaryota; Viridiplantae; Streptophyta; Magnoliopsida; Ericales; Ericaceae. The record is from RefSeq and is a predicted model, not a curated record. The transcript is spliced from 2 exons.
CCAUUUUUUCCCUUUUCCACUUUUUUCUUCUUUUCUUCCUUUCUCUGUAUUCUCUCGGCUCUCUCCCUCCGAAACUCUCCCUCCACUUCUCUCCUUGAUUUCAUCUACUUAGGGGGCGAUUCCGAACAAAGUCCAAGAAUUAAAGUUGUUAUAUGGAGCGCGGGCUUCCUAUCCAUCCAAGAAAAAUUACGAUUGGGCCUCGUGGGAGCUCGGUUGACUUGGUCAAAGGGUUGGGUUUUGCUCAAAACCCAUGAGGUAUGAUUCAAGGAUGUUGGCAUGGAGUGCUCGUUGUGCAUUUGUGACCAAACCUUUAAAAGGUAUUCAAGAAGGAUUUCAUAGCACAAGAUUUGAAAGAGCAUUUUUAGAAAAGAUGUUAUUUGUAAAUUGUAAUAAUAUUUCCGUAGAAUACUGGUAUUUUGAUGAUUUGGGGCCCUCAAGUUGGAAAUGAAAUAUUUGAAUUUUAUUUGAGAACA